UCCGUUGUAGUCUAGUUGGUUAGGAUAUCUGGCUUUCACCCAGGAGACCCGGGUUUGAUUCCCGGCAACGGAA
Rosa rugosa (rugosa rose) is the source of this 73-nucleotide non-coding RNA. The record is from the annotation of a RefSeq genome assembly. NCBI's taxonomy places the organism in Eukaryota, Viridiplantae, Streptophyta, Magnoliopsida, Rosales, Rosaceae.